Sphaeramia orbicularis (orbiculate cardinalfish) is the source of this 108-nucleotide small nuclear RNA. The record is from Ensembl. NCBI's taxonomy places the organism in Eukaryota, Metazoa, Chordata, Actinopteri, Kurtiformes, Apogonidae.
GUGUUAGGACACUAACACAUGCACCUAAAUGAGAAUGAUACAGAGUAGAUUAGCAUGGUCACUUGCAUAAAGAUGGAAUGCAAUAAUUGUGAAGCAUUCCUAAAUGGA